Molecule: long non-coding RNA, 1314 nt
Filed under: Salvia miltiorrhiza (redroot sage)
Lineage: Eukaryota; Viridiplantae; Streptophyta; Magnoliopsida; Lamiales; Lamiaceae
Description: long non-coding RNA (SMIL_LNC006617)
Source: RNAcentral
CAUACAUCCAUUUUCUGUAAUUUCCAUAAGGAAAUCAAAUAGAAUAAAUCUUACUAAAUACAUGAAAAAGAAAAUAGAAAUAGAAGAAGGGAGGGGAAAUUGUUGGUGAGUGUAUGACUGUUGAACAGCGCCGCCGGCGCUACGCGCCACGGCGGCUGGCGGAAGGAGGCAGGGGCGGCGUACGGCGAGAGAGGAAACAGGGGCAGCGGCACCGUGGUCUCUGCCGCUGCUGUGUACUUCCGGUCAGGGCGGAGGGAGAGGCGCUUGGGUUGUGCCGCUGUCGACGCGAGAGGGCGGUAGUGGUGGCGAAGGUCGCCGGAGAAGGAGACGCGGCCGCGGCUUGGCGCGGCGAGGAGAGGCAAGAGACCGAGGGAGAGAGGGAAGGAGAGAGAAGUGGAGCAGUUGCUGUGCGUAAGUGAGUGAAUGAGUGUUAUAUUAGGGGUUGAUAUUAGUCUUUGGGCUUGGGCUUAGGUUAAAUUCAUUUAAUGAGCUGAAUUUACUUAAAUAAUUGGGCUAAUAAUUUUAAUAAAAAUUGGGCUUUUAUUUUAAAUUAAGAUUUAAGCAACAAGAUCAUGCCUUAAAUAUUUUAUUAAUAAGAUCAAUGUAAUUUUAAAGGUUUUAUGUAAAUUUUCUUUAAUUUUUAAAUUAUUUUUACAAGUUCAAAUAGGCCCUUAUGUUUAUUAUUUGAAUUUAUCUGACUAGGUGCGGCGCGACUAGGACAUAACUGUUGAUCUGAAAUUAUUCAAGUUAUCUAUCAAAUCCAUAUUUUCAGGUGUGGGAUUUAUUUCAGUACAUGCACGUGGUUAAUAUUUGUCCAUUUUAAUAUUAUGUGUUUACCGUAUGUGUUGUAAAAAUAUUUAUCGCUAGGGGCCAGCAUAAUUGGUCCAGGACUUCACCGUCCUUGGUAUGCCACAAUGCGAUUUCAUGUUACAGGGUUGCAACCAUUAUAUUGUCGCCAGGGGCCCACAUAUAGGGUCCGGGACAUUAAAGUCCUUGGAGUUGCCACAGUGCGUAUGGAAGUUAUGUUACGUUAUGACAAUAUGUGUUACCAUUUUAUUAACAUGGACAAUUAUUGCAUGUUCCCACACUGAGUGUACCCUGUAUGCUCAUCCCAUAUUCAACAGUUUCAGGUGAUUGAUAUUGGAGGCGCGUGGAGAGUCGAAUGGGCGCGUCGAAUCUAAUUAAAAAUAAAUGUUUCUUAAAACAUAUUAUGUUAUUUCAUUUGAUAUCUUUUGGUUAUGUAAACUCUGAAAUUCUAUACUAUUUGAGAUUUGUGUGUGAUUUGUUUAAAUAAAUGUUAUUAUAUUAUUUUAA